RNAcentral lists this ribosomal RNA (459 nucleotides) under uncultured bacterium. Its description in RNAcentral is "partial 16S ribosomal RNA". It matches the Rfam family "Bacterial small subunit ribosomal RNA", at positions 338 to 795 of the family's 1533-position model. The record is from RNAcentral.
CCUACGGGAGGCAGCAGUGAGGAAUAUUGGUCAAUGGCCGGAAGGCUGAACCAGCCAAGCCGCGUGAAGGACGAAGGUGCCAAGCAUUGUAAACUUCUUUUGUCAAGGGACAAAAUCAGGCUCGAGAGCCUGACCGAGGGUACUUGAAAAAAAAGCAUCGGCUAACUGCGUGCCAGCAGCCGCGGUAAUACGGAGGAUGCGAGCGUUAUCCGGAUUUAUUGGGUUUAAAGGGUGCGUAGGCGGGAUGUUAAGUCAGCGGUAAAAGUCCGGGGCUCAACCCCGGCGAGCCGUUGAAACUGGCUGUCUUGAGAGGGCGAGAGGUAUGCGGAAUGCGCAGUGUAGCGGUGAAAUGCUUAGAUAUUGCGCAGAACUCCGAUUGCGAAGGCAGCAUACCGGCGGCGAUCUGACGCUGAGGCACGAAAGCGUGGGUAUCGAACAGGAUUAGAUACCCCAGUAGUC